RNAcentral lists this long non-coding RNA (178 nucleotides) under Cricetulus griseus (Chinese hamster). Its description in RNAcentral is "lncRNA (ENSCGRG00000025792.1)". The record is from RNAcentral. Lineage: Eukaryota; Metazoa; Chordata; Mammalia; Rodentia; Cricetidae.
CACACGGAAAAAAGCUCCUAUACAUCUUAAUCUUCACGGAGGAAGAAGCAGGAGAGGGAGAGAGCUCAGUGGGAAAGGUGCUGCCACUAAGCCUGACGUGAGUUCAAUCCCUCAGAUCUACACGGUGGAAGAAGAAAACUGAUUCCUGCAAAUUUUCCUCUAACCUCUAUACAUUCAG